Molecule: RNA transcript, 2252 nt
Organism: Musa acuminata AAA Group (dessert banana)
Lineage: Eukaryota; Viridiplantae; Streptophyta; Magnoliopsida; Zingiberales; Musaceae
Exons: 7
Source: RefSeq, a predicted model, not a curated record
GAGACAGCGUGCAAUGUGCCACCGCUUAGGCAUGACAUCGAGCGGCCUUCGUGGCGCCAUUACGUUAAGUCUCCAUGACGUUGGCGCCUCCCGAGGUCUCCGUGCCUGAGGUUACUAUAUCUUCUCUAGCCACCAUCGCUGCGAUCAGAGAGGUUUCGGCGCUUGCAUCCCCGCUCCGGCCUCGAGGUGAAGAACGCGUAGCGUGCGGAGUCGAACCUGAGCAGUCGUUAAUGGGCCUCGGUUGGCGUUACGACCCGUGCCAGUCAUGCGGUGUCAGACUAACAAGGGAGCGGGGCGUCAGCGGGUGUCUCUUAUCGUAAUUAUUACCCUCAUCAUCAUGAGACUUUGAAUGACAUUGGGAUAAGAUUGUCAAGCCUGAUGUUUCUUAAUAAUUAAAUCCGAGGGGCCUUUGACUGAAAUGUAAAAUGUCACGUAUCCAGCUAUGGCUGUUGUUGUUACUUGUGCUGUUAUCUUGUAUAGCAGACAGUGUAUCAACAAUGAAUCAUCAAAAAGAUCGGUCGAUCAAAUCUGCAGUCUUCCUCUCUCCUCCUUUCUUUCUACAUCCUGGGUCUGUGGCCAAUAAAUUUUACUUUAACAUCCCGUUUCCGAAAGGCCAUAUCGCUCUCAAGAGCUUUGAUGCUGAGGUGAUUGAUGAGAAUGGCAUUCCUGUCCCCCUUCAUGAAACUUAUCUUCAUCACUGGGUCAUAGAAAGAUACUAUGGUAGAAAGGAAAGCCUUGCUGAUGGAAAUUCAGAGUUGAAAGCGUUCAACCAUUCCAAUUUCAUAUGGAUGAGAAAUGCUGGAAUCUGUAAGGGUACUCUGGGGCAGUACUAUGGUCUUGGUUCAGAAACCCGCAGAACUUCCACAUGGGUCCCCGAUCCCUAUGGCAUAGAAGUUGGGAACCCUGAGAAAAUUCCGGAUGGUUACAAGGAGAAAUGGCUAUUAAAUGUCCAUGCAAUCGAUACACGAGGUGUGGAGGAUCGUUUGGGGUGCACAGAGUGCAAGUGCAGUCUGUACAAUGUGACCAUGGAUGAGUUUGGUCGGGCUCUGCCGAAAGAUUAUGAUGGAGGAUUGCAUUGUUGCUAUGACCAGACACAAUGUCAAGUAAGGGCAGGCAUUCAAAAUGUCUCCAGGAUUCUGUAUCUUAAAUACACAGUCAAGUGGCUCAACUGGGUUGAAAACAUUAUACCUGUCAAGAUCUAUAUCUUCGAUGUAACUUAUUCAGGAGAACAUUCAGUUGAUCCAAGUAAAGAAAAUCCUUUAAAUCUGAGUUGUAAGGUGGAGUACGAAAUCAAGUCUUGCAAAGAUAAUGGUGGAUGCGUGGAUACUAAAAGAACACAGUUGGUUAUUCCCACAGGGGGUGAUAUUGUGUAUGGUGUUGCACACCAGCACUCAGCCGGUCUAGGUGCUACUCUCUAUGGUCAGGACGGGCGGGUCUUGUGCACUUCUAAUCCGACAUAUGGAGAUGGGGAAGAAGCAGGGAACGAAGCUGGCUACAUCGUGGGGAUGUCUACUUGUUACCCUAAGCCAGGCUCAGUCCAAGUCGUGGAUGGAGAGAUGUUGACUCUGGAGUCCAAUUACAGCAGCAACCAAGCUCAUACAGGAGUGAUGGGGCUUUUCUACGUAUUGGUAGCUGAAGCUGUACCAAAGAGCAAGACCAUGCUAUUUCUCAGCUUUCCUGGUUCUUUGGAUCUGGGGCUCACAAAGCACACUUGGUCCUUCGUCCUCGCCGGUGGUAUGCUAACAGCCAUCUUCGGAAUCAGCUACUUGUGUAAAAGAGGCCGCAGGAAACCAUAUCACCCUCUGGUGCUGACUUAGUGCAAUAGUGGUCAAAAUACUGCUUUCCAACUCGCUUAUUACUUUACUGUACAUGGAACUCUCUCCACAGUACGUGUCUUAGCUCUGGUAGAAAUGAGACAAUGUUCUUUUGUGGUUGUAGAAGAAACAAUGGUUGGAAUAUCUUGUACACAGAUUGAAGAUGAGCUCUGAUAAGAGCAAAUGACACUGCGAGCCUUCUGCUCUGUUCUGUGACAUGAACUGAUCCCAAAACUGAAAGAGCUCAUCUCUGUGUCUCUGUUUGUGAACUAAACUGAUCGAGAAGACUUCAGUGGAGAUUGAUGUCCUCUAACUACGCAAACACCAUGACUGCGGCCAUUCUCCUCCUCUAAGUCGAUCUAUUGAAUUGGAUUUUUAUUCCAAGAAAGUACAGAAUUACAAGGAAAAUAAAGAACAAGAGAAGAAGCUCAAGAACAU